This 502-nucleotide ribosomal RNA is filed under the name uncultured bacterium. RNAcentral describes it as "partial 16S ribosomal RNA". It matches the Rfam family "Bacterial small subunit ribosomal RNA", at positions 30 to 523 of the family's 1533-position model. The record is from RNAcentral.
AUUGAACGCUGGCGGCGGCCUAACACAUGCCAGUCGAGCGGAUGACGGGAGCUUGCUCCUUGAUUCAGCGGCGGACGGGGGAGUCAUGCUUAGGAAUCUGCCUAUUAGUGGGGGACAACAUCUCGGAAGGGAUGCUAAUACCGCAUACGUCCUACGGGGGGAAGCCGGGGAUCACUUGUGACCUUGCGCUAAUAGAUGAGGCUAAGUCGGAUUAGCUAGUUGGUGGGGUAAAGGCCUACCAAGGCGACGAUCUGUAGCGGGUCUGAGAGGAUGAUCCGCCACACUGGGACUGAGACACGGCCCAGACUCCUACGGGAGGCAGCAGUGGGGAAUAUUGGACAAUGGGGGGAACCCUGAUCCAGCCAUGCCGCGUGUGUGAAGAAGGCCUUAUGGUUGUAAAGCACUUUAAGCGAGGAGGAGGCUCUUUUGGUUAAUACCCAAGAUGAGUGGACGUUACUCGCAGAAUAAGCACCGGCUAACUCUGUGCCAGCCGCCGCCGUAA